RNAcentral lists this microRNA precursor (145 nucleotides) under Mustela putorius furo (domestic ferret). RNAcentral's name for it is "miRNA (ENSMPUG00000021145.1)". The record is from RNAcentral. Lineage: Eukaryota; Metazoa; Chordata; Mammalia; Carnivora; Mustelidae.
GGCGGGGCCCGGGGAGCCCAGUGGCUGGGGCGGCGGGGGGCGCGGCGCGGGGCGGAGCGGGGCUCCAGCCCGAGCCUUUCAUCUGGGCGGAAUUCCUGCGCCCUGCUCCAGCGCCCCCCGCCCGGCCGCCGCGCCCCAGCCCGGC